CCAAGAUGGCGGCUGCCCCACCGUCUUCAUUCCAAGGAGAUCCGAAAUGAGGCCGCUGCCUGUGUGUUUGUCUCUGGAACAAGCUGCAACAGGGAAGUCAAGGUCCUUGUUGUGAAUGUGUUGCCUGCCAUUUGGGUGAAUGAGUGCUGUCCACCAUCAGGCCAUCAGCCAUUGCAGUCGAUAAUCUGGAAUGUCUUUUAUGUAUCCUGACUCCUCCGCUGCCUCUUUGGAACAAUUCAGCUGAGAGGCUGCCUUCCAGGCUAUAGAACUCACUACAGUCACCUAAUAAAAC
This is a long non-coding RNA of Cervus elaphus (red deer), 292 nucleotides long. RefSeq lists it as uncharacterized. The record is from RefSeq and is a predicted model, not a curated record. The transcript has 3 exons. NCBI's taxonomy places the organism in Eukaryota, Metazoa, Chordata, Mammalia, Artiodactyla, Cervidae.